CUGCAGUCGGUCAAGCCGACUGGGCGCCUUUGCUGGUGUGUGGUGUGCGGUGGCCGCGGCAGCAGCCUCCUCGGUGGAGCACGCAGCUUGUUGCUCGUAGGAGCUGCCCCAAGGGACCUUGGAGACCCUG
Molecule: small nucleolar RNA, 130 nt
Organism: Cavia porcellus (domestic guinea pig)
Lineage: Eukaryota; Metazoa; Chordata; Mammalia; Rodentia; Caviidae
Gene: SNORA70
Rfam family: Small nucleolar RNA SNORA70
About the family: snoRNA U70 seems to be exclusive to mammals and is a member of the H/ACA class of snoRNA which contain H (ANANNA) and ACA box motifs.
Source: Ensembl